UUUACCGUGAAAAAAUUAGAGUGUUCAAAGCAGGCAGAUCCAAUUUUCUGCCACCGAAUACAUUAGCAUGGGAUAAUAGGAAUAGGACCCUGUCCUCCUAUUUUCAGUUGGUUUUGGCAGCGCGAGGACUAGGGUAAUGAUUAAUAGGGAUAGUUGGGGGCAUUAAUAUUUAAUUGUCAGAGGUGAAAUUCUUGGAUUUAUGAAAGAUUAACUUCUGCGAAAGCAUCUGCCAAGGAUGUUUUCAUUAAUCAAGAACGAAAGUUAGGGGAUCGAAGACGAUCAGAUACCGUCGUAGUCUUAACCAUAAACGAUGCCGACCAGCGAUUAGGAGACGUUGAAUACAAAACACCACCAUCGGUGCGGUCGUCCUUGGCGUCGGUUUCGGCCGGCGCGGGGGCGGCUUAGCCCGGUGGCACCGGUGAAUGACUCCCCUA
This 434-nucleotide ribosomal RNA is filed under the name Acanthamoeba genotype T4. Its description in RNAcentral is "SSU rRNA". It matches the Rfam family "Eukaryotic small subunit ribosomal RNA", at positions 751 to 1082 of the family's 1831-position model. The record is from RNAcentral. Lineage: Eukaryota; Discosea; Longamoebia; Acanthamoebidae.